AGUGACAAAGAGAAGGAAACCGUGGAAGAAAAAAGGGUGUCCGUUGUAGACCCAGAUGUAGAGAAUUUGGCAGACGAACUUGCAGAUUUGACAUUCGAGCAGAAAAGAUUGUCCUUUGAAAAAGGUGCAUCUCUGGAAAAGAAGAAAUCCGAGGAAAAACCUCUAGAUUACGUCCAAACAUCCUUCGAUAAAGGAGUGUCUCUAGAAAGAAAAAUCUCUGUAGAUAAACCGCCGGAAGUUUCAAAACCUACCUCAGAGCCCAGAAUAUCAGAAGAUAAAGUGGAACAAUCCGGUGGAAAAGUUUCCGACUCAAUCAAAACUGAGAGUGCACAAAUAAUCGAGGCAGAAAAGCAAAUGACGGAACGAGGAAAAUCCCAAGCUUCAACAGAAACUGAAGAGAAGCAAUUGAGCUUUCAAGAAAAGAGACUCUCCUUUGAGCGCGGGUUAUCACAGACUAGCAUCACACCAGUUUUAAAGGACAAGACGGAAAUUAGCGUAGAAACCAAAGAAACUGGACCAACAGCAGAGGAAAAAAGGAGAAAUUCAGUGCUUUUUGAAGGUGUGAGUCAAGGCCUGGAAAAGCUUGACACAACCCCAGACAAAUUCAGUCAACCUCCACAGGAUCUUUUAUCCCCCAAAGUUGUGAAGACACCACCACCAAGCCCAGCAGAGUUCAAGGACCCUGCGUGGAGUAACUCAUCAUCACAAUCAUCUCAAGAAGGAAAGUACUGGAUGUCGAUGGGGCAGCACAAGAGGCCGCUAAAAACAACGUAGCAGAUAGCCCAACAUCAGAUACAACAGGAAAAUCAGGUAAACAGUUAUUUUUGUUUUCUUCAAUUAUUUAAUAUUAGACUUAUUUGUUAUGGCUUUGGAUCCCUAGGAAAUUCUUAAUUUUUUUUCUCGGAUCCUUUGGCCCUCUCAUUCAUGUCCCACCAUAAAAAAAAAGAAAAUAUUAAAUAUAUCACCUUUAUUUAUGAGUUCCCAUACAUUUUCACAAACUCGGGACAUUUGUCAUUCGGCUUUUUACAAAUUUCACUAUCACAAAAUAGUACUCAUCACUCAUUACCCAUAGAUUCAUCAAACAUUAGAAUCUAUUUAUAAGACUCUUCUUAUUUGAGUCUUUAACUCAUUUGUGUAUGAGUUCUCAGUGUCUGUCACUUAACUCUCAUGACUGCUAAUCUAUUGGUCGCCUUGUGAACUGUUACAUGUGCUUCUGAAACACUGACGAUUUUUAGUCAUUUUACAAUUCGUGACCUUAACUGUAUAAGGUUCUUCCUCUAUUUGCACUAUUUUCCUUCUCUUUCUCCAGUAUCCAUUUCACUUUAUGCCUUAUUAAGAAGAGCAGCAGUGAUUGCCCUCUGUGAAUAAGCACUUCAAGUAUUUAUUCUCUGUGGAUGUUUUUUCUCUGUGUAUGAAUUAAUUAAUUUUUAUCCUCUGGCACUGAAUCUCACUCUUAUUGAAUGAUUUUUAGGAGCUAGCCCUCAUAAAACCUGAAUUUUCAGAAUCCUCUCUUUGAAAUGAAUUCCUCAAUUCCUCAUAUUUAGCAAUUUCCUUUGUCUUCUCAUAAUUCUUCAUAUUUUUUAUGCCGCAGUGAUAUUGACCCAUCGUUAUUAGGUGGAAGGAGUCUUCUCAUAUCCCUCAUGAUCCUCUUUCAUAACUUCGGCGCGUUCGUUUAUAAUUGGAUAUGCUUGAAAAGUUUGCAUUUUUUCCAUAAAAUUCUUGACAGGAGUAGCUCAUAUGGUUCUAAUAAGUUUGAGUGUGACUAGGACUAGUCAAUUUUGACGAUCACCCAACAAGAUACCCACAUAUUACAGAAAGUAUUGAAGUCGGUAAAGGCAUCCCUCUUUUUUUCUGUGCUUCUAAAUCGUAAAGUAUCGGUGCCCAUAAAUUGCCAGGCAUUUUCAAAGAAUUAGGAAAAAUCAAGCAAAUAGGAACAUUUCAGAAGGCAUUUUGGAGUCUUUGGUAUCGGAAUAUCGGCGUCUUGGUCAGUGGACAUUAAACAGCCUGAUCACAUUUCAACGGUUAACCCGCCCUGUUUAGGCGUUCUACAAACUCAAAACAUUUGUACUCGUUUUUGAUCUGGCGAGUCUCUUUCAUGCCAUAAUUUCAUCCUUUCAGAUUUCCGUAAAAAGGGUUGUUACACAAUUUUAAAUCAUCAUAACACUUUACUGAAGGAAAAUAGAAUCAAGAUGAACCUAUUCGAAGUUGAACCAUGAGAUUACUGGCGUUUGAUUCCUUAUGCUAUUGGAUGCUUCAAGGAAAAGAAGUACUCUUUAUUUUUUGAAUAAUCUGAAUAACAGUACCCAUCUAAAAUGGCGUAAUCCCGCAAAUUUAUCAACGGAGUUGCUUAAAGUCCACUUUUUCAUCAUUAGGUAUUUACUUCCAGACUGCUUUUCUCUUAAAAACUGUCUCUGUCAAUGCAGUUUUCACGAGAAUUGAGGAUUUUCAAUCUCAUCAAUUUUUCUCUGAUCGAAUUCUUAUUAAGCAUGAUCGCAUUGCUGCAGAUCAAGUCCAAAGUUCCAAAAGAGGUUUUUAAGGUAAGCUCUUAAUGGAAGAGCAUUACGUCAGUAUGGGACGAGCACACCAAAGCAAGGCAAGCUCGAUUCUGUCUAAUUCUCCUGAAAUUUUUGCCACUUAGUGUGUCAAAAACAUGAUUUUUAACGUUGGCCCUAAAUCUGCAUGGAGAAUUAAACAGAAAACAGAUGUGAAGUCUUGUCUACUAUCCCACGGUUCCUUCUACUUAGACUCCAUUUCAAGAGGGUUUUUUCUGGUUAUUUAAGCUUUGGAGUUUAUUUCAGACAAAACAUUUGCAUUGCCAGGUUAUAUUCGUCAAAUGUUUUGUCAAAAUUGGUACCUCAAAUAAAAUUUACUUCUUUUUAGUCCAUGACGUUGAUAAGACUGUAAAACUGCUCAUCAGAAUUUUACACUUCAAAAUGUCCGUUCGUUCCUUUUUCCUUUUUUUUUUUAUUAAAGUCAAAUAAGACAAUCUUAUAAUUUCUAAUUUUCACCAAUUAUUUUCAGAGGGAAAUAAAUUGAAAGUAUUGUGAAAUAAUGAUGAAAAAAUCAAAGUCUAAUGUAAAAUUGAAUCAUGUGUAAUUGAAUCUUUGUAGUGGUCUCCUCUAAUUUUCACCGAAGUUUGCUUGUAUUUGCAGAAAUAUUAUCCACCGCCCUUUCAUGUUUCAUAAAACUCCUAAUGUUAAGUGUAAUUUUCUCCUAAGCUUUCUAGGGCUACUUUGACUCUAACUAUCCUCUUGCAGCCUUUGAACUGUUUGUGAAGAAGCGAUACCAUUUUUUUAAUCUUUCCUUCUUUAUUAAUUGAACAAUCCCAGGGGAAAACAAAAUGUCAGCGGCUUUUCCAAGGUAUUGAUUCAAUGUUGGAUAUAUUAACCUUUUAAAACAAUCAUUGCAUGAUUACUCUUCUUACUCCUGCAAAAGAAGUGUGCGUCAUUGAAAUGGGUUCUUUGUUGAUUUUCCAUUAUAGCACAGAUCUGGAGUGUUUCUGAAAAGUAAAAUGUGGAAACUAAAUGACAGCAAAGCUUGUGUAGUUACAAACUCUUAGGGUUAGUCGUGAUAAACAUUUUGAUUUUAUAUCAAGACAAUCCUUCGUCAGUUUUCAAUUUCUCACGAAGUUAAAAAGUAUGUUUUUAAAUGUACCUCUAACAUGUAGUCAAAUCUAAAUUUUUCCCAAUUCGUACAUUUGUCUCAACAGAUUUAUGCGGUUGUUCUAUGGCUGGUGAUAGGUUUUCGGAGAGGAAAUUUUCGGCUCAAAGGACAAAUAUUGACUUUUCAAAGCAACAAUCUUCAGAUUCCUGCUUCAUAUCCAAAAUUAUAGAUAAUGAAGGAAAGCAACCGAAGAAACAAAUAAUG
RNAcentral lists this long non-coding RNA (3867 nucleotides) under Bemisia tabaci. RNAcentral's name for it is "lncRNA ENSSSA2NGG003440". The record is from RNAcentral. Lineage: Eukaryota; Metazoa; Arthropoda; Insecta; Hemiptera; Aleyrodidae.